Molecule: long non-coding RNA, 385 nt
Organism: Helianthus annuus (common sunflower)
Lineage: Eukaryota; Viridiplantae; Streptophyta; Magnoliopsida; Asterales; Asteraceae
Exons: 3
Source: RefSeq, a predicted model, not a curated record
GCUUGGGAUAGAUCUGAUGCUUAUGUGUGCGCCUUGAUAACAACAAAUCUUUCUCCAUCGCUAAUUCAGAUUGCCUAGAGGAACUGCAUCUGCUUCAGAAUUAUGGCAGAAAAUAGAGGAGAUGUUUCAUCAACAGGUACACCAACGCCGGUUCCAACGUGUAGUCGAGAGGGCACCGGAUUAUGGUGUCUUUCUCGUUCUGUAUGGAACAAAACAAAAAGCCCAGUGGAAAGACAAGCUAAAGAGUAAAGCAGAGAGGAAAAGUCAAAAAGAAGGAAAAUUCUACUAUCACUUCUUACUCAAUCUACAUUAUUUUUUUGGUGUAAUUAACUUUUAUUGAGUGAUUUUUUUAUUCUCAUAUAUGAAUUGAAAGAAGAUUAUUUAC